CCUUGUCCCAUCGCGCCGCCGCCACCCACUCACCAUUCCCCUCGGGAUCUUCCCAGAUCCACCUCGUAGCCAGCCCGAGCUCCACCUAAUUUUCCCCACUGGACCAACUCCAUCGAUCCAUCCCCUCCAACCAGAGAUCCCCACGGCCCUCGUCGUCCCAGCAGCAGCACCGGAGCCACCUCGCGUCUCCUCCUCCCGUUCCUUCUUUCUUUCACCUGUUGCCGGGCUCAUCCUCUCUCUCUCUCGUACUGGACAGGAGAGCAGCCAUGGCCGUCCGUCCAUGGAAGUGAGCCGCGCCGCCCUGGUCACCUGCGACCUUGGGUUGCCUCCGUGUCGUCCUCACCGCCCACUGGAGCCGAGGCCGUCGCCUCCUAAGUUCGUCGCGCCGCUACUGGGUUCGCCGGAUCCGCUGCCUCCCGGCACCCCUUCCUCAACCGCGCCUACAACCCCUGCCUCCCUCGCGCGCCAAGUUCGCGUCGUCGCUCUCCCGAACCGCCGCAACCUGCAGGAGCUUCAAGAGACGAACGCAGUCGCCAGGACCCGGCCAGAUCCUGCCGUUCCCGCUCCUCCUCGUGCGCCAAGUCCGCCCAGCCGCCCGCUGCGCCCGCUCGCAGCGCCAGUCGCCGCCCUCCGCUGCUGCUUUGCCGCCGUCCAGCCGUGCCGCCGUUCCCCUGUUUCCUCUGCUUCAUGUACGAGCGAGGAGAACGACCGCGUGUUCGCCCCGAGCGUUGACCGCGCCUCCAGCACCAUCGUGGGCCGCGUGAGCAAGGCCUAGCCCAGCCGCUGCUAGAACCAAACCGCACCACAGAACGGGCCAAGCCCAUGGUUGCGUGUGUGAGGAUCCGUUGGCUAC
Molecule: non-coding RNA, 853 nt
Organism: Triticum urartu
Lineage: Eukaryota; Viridiplantae; Streptophyta; Magnoliopsida; Poales; Poaceae
Source: RefSeq, a predicted model, not a curated record